AGUUUCGUAGGUGAACCUGCGAAGGAUCAUUAAUAAAUUUUUUUUGAAAUAAAAAAAAAUAUAUCAUCCUACCCUGUGAAUUUGUUUGUGAAUAAUUUUUAAAAUUAUUUAUUGUCUAUCCAAGUUGGAAGUGUAAAAAGACUCGAAGACUUGGACGCAUAAAAAAUUUAAAGACUUUUUCUAAAAUUAAACUUUUUGUAUUCAUUUGUCUAAAAUAAUUUUAAUAUAUAAAACAACUUUUGACAAUGGAUCUCUUGUCUCGCAACGAUGAAACCAGCAAAAUGCGAUAAGUAAUGUGAAUUGCAGAAUACGUGAAUCAUCAAUCUUCGAACGCAUAUUGCACUUUUUAGUUUACUAAAAAAGUAUGUCUGUUGAGUAUCAGUAAAAUAUUCUCAUAAAAUUUUUAAUUUAUGUUAUGAGUGUUUUACAACGAUAAACAAGUUGUUUACUUUAAUUGAAUUUUUUUGAAGAAUUCUUUAAUUCAAAUUAAAUUUGGAUAAAUCUUCCCGCAAAAGGAAUAACUAUACAAGUUUAAUAAGAAUUAGUGAUUUCUUUAUGAAAGGAAUUUUAAAUAACUUGAUCUCAAAUCAAUAAGUACCCGCUGAACUUAAGCAUAUAAUAGCGGAGGAAAGAAACUAACAAGAUUCCCUAGUAACGGCGAGUGAAGCGGAAGAGCUCAAAUUUGAAAUUUAAAGGGUUCCUUUACGAAUUGUAGUUUAAAGAAGUGUUUCUGUUGAGGUUUUGGUAAAAGUUCUUUGGAAUAGACAUCAUAGAGGGUGAGAAUCCCGUAUUUGACUUUACUUUCAACUUUGUGAUACACUUUCAAAGAGUCGGAUGUUUGGGAAUGCAGUCAAAUGGUGGUAAUUUCAUCUAAGCUAAAUAUUGGCGAGAGACGAUAGCGACAAGUACGUGAGGAAAGAUGAAGAGAAUUUGAAAGAGAGUUAAACAGUACGUGAAAUUGUCAAAAGGGAAGCGUUUGACACCAGUGUGUUUUCUGAAAUCAAUUAAAGAACUGUUUAUGCUAAGUUGUUUAGACUUAUCAGCUAACUGUUUAGUUUUGAGCUUUUCUUUAAUGCACUUUUCAGUUAACAAGUCAACAUCAAUUUCUUUUGCUGUAAAAAGCUUGAGGAAGGUGGCUUGAGAUUCGUCUUAAGUGUUUAUAGCCUCUUGCUAUGCAGUCGGAGAGAUUGAGGUCUGCAGCGUAGAUCCUUCGGGCUAAAUGCAUUUGUGCUAAGUUAUAGCAUUUUAUAGACACUUGUUGACUAUGAUUUGUUUGUAGUUAUCGUUAUGCUAUUUUACCUACGCUUAGGAUGUU
RNAcentral lists this unclassified non-coding RNA (1315 nucleotides) under uncultured Neocallimastigales. RNAcentral's name for it is "partial contains internal transcribed spacer 1, 5.8S ribosomal RNA, internal transcribed spacer 2, and large subunit ribosomal RNA". The stretch from base 578 to 1315 matches the Rfam family "Eukaryotic large subunit ribosomal RNA", at positions 1 to 626 of the family's 3401-position model. Lineage: Eukaryota; Fungi; Neocallimastigomycota; Neocallimastigomycetes; Neocallimastigales. The record is from RNAcentral.